This is a non-coding RNA of Leptospirillum ferrodiazotrophum, 149 nucleotides long. Lineage: Bacteria; Pseudomonadati; Nitrospirota; Nitrospiria; Nitrospirales; Nitrospiraceae. The record is from Rfam.
CCCCGUUUUCCCUGACGGGUAGCCUACUGGAACUGGCGUGGUUGGCAACAGCCGGGUCAGGAGCUUCCGGGACAAUGUACCCUCCCAGAAAUGGGCUCUUCAAGCCGAGAGGCGACAGGAGGACCUGCCAGCAUCAGGCGGGGCAGGGG